UAUCUCUGUAGAGUCUGCAUAUCAAUAAGCGGAGGAAAAGAAACUAACUAGGAUUCCCUCAGUAACGGCGAGUGAAGCGGGAAGAGCUCAAAUUUGAAAUCUUCAAGGUUCUACCUUGACGAAUUGUAGUUUAAAGAAGUGUUUUCUGUUGGUGUUUUGGUAAAAGUUCUUUGGAAUAGGACAUCAUAGAGGGUGAGAAUCCCGUAUUUGACCAUUACUUCCAGCGUUGUGAUACACUUUCAAAGAGUCGGAUUGUUUGGGAAUGCAGUCCAAAAUGGGUGGUAAAUUUCAUCUAAAGCUAAAUACUGGCGAGAGACCGAUAGCGAACAAGUACCGUGAGGGAAAGAUGAAAAGAACUUUGAAAAGAGAGUUAAACAGUACGUGAAAUUGUCAAAAGGGAAGCGUUUGACACCAGUGUUGUUUUCUCGAAAAUCAAUUAAAAAAGGCAGGAUUUUGUGUUGUAUUGACUUUAUCAGCUUUCUGCACUCUUUUCUUGUCUUUUUUAAUGCACUUUUCGUUUAACAAGUCAGCAUCAAUUUCUUUUGUUGUAAAAGGGUCAUUGGAAGGUGGCUUUCUUUUCGGAGAAAGUGUUUAUAGCCUUUGGCCUCUGCAAUCGGAGAGAUUGAGGUCUGCAGCGUAGAUCCUUCGGGGUUAGAUACAUUUGUGCUAAGUUAUAGCCUUUCAUAGACAACUUGCUGACUAUGAUCAGUCAUGUAGCUUACUCGCUUAUGCUAUUUUACCUACGCUUAGGAUGUUGACGAUCAGCUGAGCGCG
This 774-nucleotide ribosomal RNA is filed under the name uncultured Neocallimastigales. RNAcentral describes it as "partial large subunit ribosomal RNA". It matches the Rfam family "Eukaryotic large subunit ribosomal RNA", at positions 24 to 627 of the family's 3401-position model. Lineage: Eukaryota; Fungi; Neocallimastigomycota; Neocallimastigomycetes; Neocallimastigales. The record is from RNAcentral.